RNAcentral lists this ribosomal RNA (380 nucleotides) under uncultured eukaryote. RNAcentral's name for it is "partial 18S ribosomal RNA". It matches the Rfam family "Eukaryotic small subunit ribosomal RNA", at positions 592 to 976 of the family's 1831-position model. The record is from RNAcentral.
CAAUAGCGUAUAUUAAAGUUGUUGCGGUUAAAAAGCUCGUAGUUGGAUUUCUGCCGAGGACGACCGGUCCGCCCUCUGGGUGAGCAUCUGGCUCGGCCUGGGCAUCUUCUUGGAGAACGUAUCUGCACUUGACUGUGUGGUGCGGUAUUCAGGACUUUUACUUUGAGGAAAUUAGAGUGUUUCAAGCAGGCACACGCCUUGAAUACAUUAGCAUGGAAUAAUAAGAUAGGACCUCGGUUCUAUUUUGUUGGUUUCUAGAUCUGAGGUAAUGAUUAAUAGGGAUAGUUGGGGGCAUUCGUAUUUAACUGCCAGAGGUGAAAUUCUUGGAUUUGUUAAAGACGGACUACUGCGAAAGCAUUUGCCAAGGAUGUUUUCAUUGA